Molecule: long non-coding RNA, 301 nt
Filed under: Solanum tuberosum (potato)
Lineage: Eukaryota; Viridiplantae; Streptophyta; Magnoliopsida; Solanales; Solanaceae
Description: long non-coding RNA (STUB_LNC003971)
Source: RNAcentral
AUGAUUGCUCCAAUUCUUCGCAUGCCAUCUGGCAUUUCACCAUUGCAGAGUCCAGGUUCGGCUACCCCUCAGGAAUCUUCCUAUCAGGCGAAUCCAUUCCUUACAUUAAAUUGUGAAAGUAGGAGCUCUCAGAAAUUGCACUCACAGAGUGAUCAAAACAACAGUGAUUCGACAGCUUACAAUGAGGGUAAGAGAGGGCACACAUCUGAACCUACAACUGAUUGUGAACGUUUUCCCUCUGCAACUGAUCAAACUAUAAAUAGUAUUUGCUGCAAUGGUGAUCUAAACCAUGUUCAUCUGA